AAACUGGUUAAUGAUAACUGAAUCAUAAAACCUUCAGGAGGAAAGGAGACUAUGGACCAUUUUUGUGUGUGUGUGCUAGUUUUAAGUUAUUAGUUUUCAAAAUCAGU
This 107-nucleotide microRNA precursor is filed under the name Mesocricetus auratus (golden hamster). RNAcentral describes it as "miRNA (ENSMAUG00000003444.1)". Lineage: Eukaryota; Metazoa; Chordata; Mammalia; Rodentia; Cricetidae. The record is from RNAcentral.